GAAGUUUUGAAUCCUGGCUCAGGACGAACGCUGGCGGCGUGCUUAACACAUGCAAGUCGAACGAUGAAGCCUAGCUUGCUAGGUGGAUUAGUGGCGAACGGGUUGAGUAAUACGUGAGCGACCUACCUUUGACUCUGGGAUAAGCCUGGGAAACUGGGUCUAAUACCGGAUACGACCAAUCUCCGCAUGGGGUGUUGGUGGAAAGCGUUAUGGAGUGGUUUUAGAUGGGCUCACGGCCUAUCAGCUUGUUGGUGAGGUAAUGGCUUACCAAGGCGACGACGGGUAGCCGGCCUGAGAGGGUGACCGGCCACACUGGGACUGAGACACGGCCCAGACUCCUACGGGAGGCAGCAGUGGGGAAUAUUGCACAAUGGGCGCAAGCCUGAUGCAGCGACGCCGCGUGAGGGAUGACGGCCUUCGGGUUGUAAACCUCUGUUAGCAUCGAAGAAGCGAAAGUGACGGUAGGUGCAGAGAAAGCGCCGGCUAACUACGUGCCAGCAGCCGCGGUAAUACGUAGGGCGCGAGCGUUGUCCGGAAUUAUUGGGCGUAAAGAGCUUGUAGGCGGUUGGUCGCGUCUGCUGUGAAAGGCUGGGGCUUAACCCUGGUUUUGCAGUGGGUACGGGCUAACUAGAGUGCAGUAGGGGAGACUGGAAUUCCUGGUGUAGCGGUGGAAUGCGCAGAUAUCAGGAGGAACACCGAUGGCGAAGGCAGGUCUCUGGGCUGUAACUGACGCUGAGAAGCGAAAGCAUGGGGAGCGAACAGGAUUAGAUACCCUGGUAGUCCAUGCCGUAAACGUUGGGCACUAGGUGUGGGGGACAUUCCACGUUUUCCGCGCCGUAGCUAACGCAUUAAGUGCCCCGCCCUGGGGAGUACGGCCGCAAGGCUAAAACUCAAAGAAAUUGACGGGGGCCCGCACAAGCGGCGGAGCAUGCGGAUUAAUUCGAUGCAACGCGAAGAACCUUACCAAGGCUUGACAUAUACUGGACUGCGUCAGAGAUGGCGUUUCCCUUCGGGGCUGGUAUACAGGUGGUGCAUGGUUGUCGUCAGCUCGUGUCGUGAGAUGUUGGGUUAAGUCCCGCAACGAGCGCAACCCUCGUUCUAUGUUGCCAGCACGUGAUGGUGGGGACUCAUAGGAGACUGCCGGGGUCAAACUCGGAGGAAGGUGGGGAUGACGUCAAAUCAUCAUGCCCCUUAUGUCUUGGGCUUCACGCAUGCUACAAUGGCCGGUACAGAGGGUUGCGAUACUGUGAGGUGGAGCUAAUCCCUAAAAGCCGGUCUCAGUUCGGAUUGGGGUCUGCAAACUCGACCCCUUGAAGUCGGAGUCGCUAGUAAUCGCGGAUCAGCAAACGCUGCGGUAAAUACGUUCCCGGGCCUUG
This 1376-nucleotide ribosomal RNA is filed under the name uncultured bacterium. RNAcentral's name for it is "16S ribosomal RNA". It matches the Rfam family "Bacterial small subunit ribosomal RNA". The record is from RNAcentral.